This 21-nucleotide non-coding RNA is filed under the name Xenopus tropicalis (tropical clawed frog). RNAcentral also lists the same sequence under 2 other names. Lineage: Eukaryota; Metazoa; Chordata; Amphibia; Anura; Pipidae. The record is from RNAcentral.
GCAGGACGGUGGCCAUGGAAG